RNAcentral lists this ribosomal RNA (464 nucleotides) under Neisseria bacilliformis. RNAcentral describes it as "bacterial SSU rRNA". It matches the Rfam family "Bacterial small subunit ribosomal RNA", at positions 30 to 481 of the family's 1533-position model. Lineage: Bacteria; Pseudomonadati; Pseudomonadota; Betaproteobacteria; Neisseriales; Neisseriaceae. The record is from RNAcentral.
AUUGAACGCUGGCGGCAUGCUUUACACAUGCAAGUCGGACGGCAGCACAGAGAAGCUUGCUUCUUGGGUGGCGAGUGGCGAACGGGUGAGUAACGCAUCGGAACGUACCGAGUAAUGGGGGAUAACUGUCCGAAAGGACAGCUAAUACCGCAUACGCCCUGAGGGGGAAAGCGGGGGAUCUUAGGACCUCGCGUUAUUCGAGCGGCCGAUGUCUGAUUAGCUGGUUGGCGGGGUAAAGGCCCACCAAGGCGACGAUCAGUAGCGGGUCUGAGAGGAUGAUCCGCCACACUGGGACUGAGACACGGCCCAGACUCCUACGGGAGGCAGCAGUGGGGAAUUUUGGACAAUGGGCGCAAGCCUGAUCCAGCCAUGCCGCGUGUCUGAAGAAGGCCUUCGGGUUGUAAAGGACUUUUGUCAGGGAAGAAAAGGGGCAUGUUAAUACCGUGCUCUGAUGACGGUACCUG